Molecule: small nucleolar RNA, 93 nt
Organism: Sebastes umbrosus (honeycomb rockfish)
Lineage: Eukaryota; Metazoa; Chordata; Actinopteri; Perciformes; Sebastidae
Product: small nucleolar RNA SNORD14
Exons: 1
Source: RefSeq, a predicted model, not a curated record
UCGCUGUGAUGACAUUAUUCCCUGCCAUUCGUAGUUUCCUCCAGAGGUCUGACGACCGAAGACGGUCCAAACCUUCCUUGGAUGUCUGAGCGA